CCGAUGACGUAUCCUUCAAAUGUCUGACUUAUCAGCUGUCGAUGGUAGACUCUGUGUCUACCAUGGCUCUCACGGGUGACGGGGAAUCAGGGUUCGAUUCCGGAGAGGGAGCCUGAGAAACGGCUACCACAUCCAAGGAAGGCAGCAGGCACGCAAAUUACCCACUCCCGGCACGGGGAGGUAGUGACAAAAAAUAACGAUACGGGACUCAUCCGAGGCCCCGUAAUCGGAAUGAGAACACCCUAAAUCCUAUAACGAGGAUCCAUUGGAGGGAAAGUCUGGUGCCAGCAGCCGCGGUAAUUCCAGCUCCAAUAGCGUAUAUUAAAGUUGUUGCGGUUAAAAAGCUCGUAGUUGGUUCUGCGUGCCACGCUGUCGGUUCACCGCCUGCCGGUGCAACUGGCAUGCCGUGGCAUGUCCUGUCGGUGGCUGAUAGGCUUCACGUCGUACACCAUGCAGUUCAUGCUGUGUGGGUUAGUGCGCCGUGUUGUCCUUGUAAGCCGGCUCAAUCCUACCGCGGUGCUCUUUACCGAGUGUCGAGGUAGGCCGACACUGUUUACUUUGAACAAAUUAGAGUGCUUAAAGCAGGCUCUUAAAUCAGCCUGAAUAGUGGUGCAUGGAAUAAUGGAACAGGACCUUGGUUCUAUUUUGUUGGUUUUAGGAAUCCAAGGUAAUGAUCAAUAAGGACAGGCGGGGGCAUUCGUAUUGCGACGUUAGAGGUGAAAUUCUUGGAUCGUCGCAAGACGCACUAGAGCGAAAGCAUUUGCCAAGUAUGUCCUAAUUGAUC
This 784-nucleotide ribosomal RNA is filed under the name Physopelta cincticollis. RNAcentral describes it as "SSU rRNA". It matches the Rfam family "Eukaryotic small subunit ribosomal RNA", at positions 284 to 978 of the family's 1831-position model. Lineage: Eukaryota; Metazoa; Arthropoda; Insecta; Hemiptera; Largidae. The record is from RNAcentral.